This 90-nucleotide transfer RNA is filed under the name Rhodotorula toruloides. Its description in RNAcentral is "Rhodosporidium toruloides tRNA". It matches the Rfam family "tRNA". Rfam says of the family: Transfer RNA (tRNA) molecules are approximately 80 nucleotides in length. Their secondary structure includes four short double-helical elements and three loops (D, anti-codon, and T loops). RNAcentral also lists the same sequence under 1 other name. The record is from Rfam by way of RNAcentral. Lineage: Eukaryota; Fungi; Basidiomycota; Microbotryomycetes; Sporidiobolales; Sporidiobolaceae.
UCUCCUGUGGCGUAGUUGGUAGCGCAUCAUGCUUAUGGCCCGCCUUUUGACGGAACGUGAUGGUCGCGGGUUCGAUCCCCGCCAGGAGAA